Molecule: ribosomal RNA, 514 nt
Filed under: Rhexoacrodictys martinii
Lineage: Eukaryota; Fungi; Ascomycota; Sordariomycetes
Description: eukaryotic LSU rRNA
Rfam family: Eukaryotic large subunit ribosomal RNA
Source: RNAcentral
UCUGGUCCCCUUGGGGCCCGAGUUGUAAUCUGUAGAGGAUGCUUUUGGCGACGCGCCUUCCGAGUCCCCUGGAACGGGGCGCCAGAGAGGGUGAGAGCCCCGUACGGUCGGACGCCGAACCUCUGUAAAGCUCCUUCGACGAGUCGAGUAGUUUGGGAAUGCUGCUCAAAAUGGGAGGUAAAUUUCUUCUAAAGCUAAAUACCGGCCAGAGACCGAUAGCGCACAAGUAGAGUGAUCGAAAGAUGAAAAGCACUUUGAAAAGAGGGUUAAAUAGCACGUGAAAUUGCUGAAAGGGAAGCGCUUGUGACCAGACUUGCGCCCGGUUGAUCAUCCAGCGUUCUCGCUGGUGCACUCUGCCGGGCCCAGGCCAGCAUCGGCUCUCCCAGGGGGAUAAAGGUCGCGGGAACGUAGCUCUCUCCGGGGAGUGUUAUAGCCCGUGGCGGAAUGCCCUUAGGGGGGGCCGAGGCCCGCGUUCGCAAGGAUGCUGGCGUAAUGGUCAUCAGCGACCCGUCUU